Molecule: long non-coding RNA, 1639 nt
Organism: Oreochromis aureus
Lineage: Eukaryota; Metazoa; Chordata; Actinopteri; Cichliformes; Cichlidae
Source: Ensembl
AGGGAGGCUGCAUCACGAAAACUGGGAGCAAGUGAUUGACUGACUGAACUAGGUGCAAGUGGUGUAAUCAGGCAGGUGGUUGGGAGCGGCAGCAGCAGGUUCAACAUCUGGUACGGCACUGGGUUGAAGUUUGUGAACAGCCGCAAGAAUCUGAAACCGUCGAUAAUUGUUUUGUGGUGGGCUAGCAGGAACUGAAUCGAUUGCUCAUGACUGCCUAAAAUGGCUCCCUGCUUACUCCCUGAACACUGUGAACACUGGUCUUAAAUACAGCUGGCUUGAUUAGUCUCAGGUGGUGAUCCUGGGAGGAGUGAUAAAGACUGGAGGUGGAGAGCAGGGACUGUGGAAAAUUAUUGUGACUCACCCAGACCUUGACACAGACCUGAGUUUUGUCCUUUUCAGCAUUUCCAACAACACUGCAGGUCCUCAUUAUCAGCCCCCACAUGCUUCAAAAGAUCCACCGUCAUCCCUGUGCCCAGGAACAGCAAACCCUCAUCCCUGAACGAUUACCGACCAGUUGCACUGACUUUGGUAGUAAUGAAGGUGUUCGAGAGGCUGCUGAAGAACAUCAUCUCCUCCUCCAUCCCAGACACCACAGAUCUGCUCCAGUUCGCCUACCGACCCAACAGAUCCACAGGACGCCCAAGUCCUGCACAUCACCCUCAGCCAUGUGGACAAGAAACAGGGUAACUAUGUGAGAAUGCUGUUUGUUGAUUACAGUUCAGCGUUUAACACAAUAGUGCCCAGGAGACUGUUCACAAAGCUGAAGGAUCUGGGACUCAACAGCCGUCUGUGUGCAUGGGUGUUGGACUUCCUCACUGGCAGAACUCAGGUGGUGAGGGUGGGUAGAUGCGUCUCUAACAGCAUCACCUUCAACACAGGAGCACCACAGGGAUGUGUCCUCUCGCCACUGCUCUACUCCCUCUACACUUCAGACUGUGUGGCCACCCACAACUCCAAUACCAUUGAAGUUUGCUGACAACACAGUGGUGUUGGGCGCCAUCUCCAACAACGAUGAGGCGGCCUACAUGGAUGAAAUGAAGAAUCUGGCAUCAUGGUGCCAGGACAACCAUCUCCAGCUGAACGCUGGCAAGACCAAGGAGCUGGUGGUGGACUUCAGAAGGAGUCAGCACAUAGACUACAAGCCCAUUAUCAUCAAUGGAGCUCCAGUGGAGAGGGUGCAGUCCUUAAAGUAUCUCGGUGUCCACAUCUCCUCAGACCUGACAUGGUCUGCCCACAUUCAGAUCCAGACCAAAAAGGCUAGGCAGCAUCUGUACCACCUACGACAACUGAGGAAGUUCAGGGUCUCUCCAGAGAUCCUCAGGAUUUUCUAUACAGGCGCUGUGGAGAGUAUCCUCACACAGAACAUCACAUCCUGGUUUGGGAACAGCUUUGUUAAGGACCAAAAAGCUUUUCAGAGAAUGAUCCGUACAGCACAACGCUGCUGCAGGAUUGCUCUCCCCCCGCUUCAGGACAUCUGCACCAGGAGAUGCCGGACUAGAGCAGCGCAGAUACUGAAGGACCCGUCCCAUCCUGGCAACAAACUGUUCCAACUUCUGAAGAAGAUUCCUCAUCAUCCGGGACAGAGAGACUCAAGAGGAGCUUCUAUCCCCAAGCCAUCCUGGCCCUAAACCAACCCCCC